GGACCCAUUGCAAAACCCACUGCAAUGUGCAUGAGGCCGAGCGAGCUUGCAACCCCCAGGGCCCGUUGCAACCUGCACGGGGCUGGGGGCUCUCAACCCUUAACCCCUCUCUUUGUCCCUCCCCCCCUUCCAAGGAGCACGGUGCCAGCGGGACGAGGACUGCGGGGUGGGCAGCUGCUGCGCGCGGCGGCACGGCGAGUUACUGUGCCAGCAGCGGCUGGAGCUGGGGCAGAGCUGCCACGUGCCCCCCGGGGGUCUGGCCUUCAGCAUCAACCAGGUGUGCCCCUGCCAGGCUGGGCUGGUGUGCCGAGCAUCGCCCCCACCACGAGAGAAAGCAUUCGAGUAUUGGCCGGAGAAGAGCGAGUGGAGGUGCCGGCAGCCCUGAGCCAGCAGCGCUGUAUUUAUUCCCUGUAAAUAGCAUGUACAGCCCCACUGCACCCCAAAGCAGGACGUGUUCCCUCCCCAGGAGCCGGGCAGGUCCCGGCCACCCCCAACCCCCUCCAGGAGAGGCUGCGGUCACUGCAGAGCCGAGCUGUGCUUGGUCUCAGCCCCCCCCCCCCCCCCCCAACCAGGCACAGCCGCGGGGAGAGAUCUCACCGAAAUGUUUAUUACAAAGAACCAAGCGAGCGGGGCGAGCCCCCCCCACACACGAAGGAGAAUAAAUAAAUAAAAUACACUUUGUCGGGGUCUUUU
RNAcentral lists this long non-coding RNA (693 nucleotides) under Numida meleagris (helmeted guineafowl). RNAcentral's name for it is "lncRNA (ENSNMEG00000006427.1)". The record is from RNAcentral. Lineage: Eukaryota; Metazoa; Chordata; Aves; Galliformes; Numididae.